Molecule: ribosomal RNA, 520 nt
Filed under: uncultured bacterium
Lineage: Bacteria
Description: bacterial SSU rRNA
Rfam family: Bacterial small subunit ribosomal RNA
Source: RNAcentral
AGGACGAACGCUGGCGGCGUGCCUAAUACAUGCAAGUCGAACGGUCUUUCUAUGGAAGCUUGCUUCCACUGAGAAGAUAGUGGCGAACGGGUGAGUAACACGUGGGUAACCUGCCCAUAAGAGGGGGGAUAACAUCCGGAAACGGGUGCUAAUACCGCAUAGUUUUCUUGAUCGCAUGAUCGGGAAAGGAAAGACGGCCUUUGUGCUGUCGCUUAUGGAUGGACCCGCGGCGUAUUAGCUAGUUGGUGAGGUAACGGCUCACCAAGACGAUGAUACGUAGCCGACCUGAGAGGGUGAUCGGCCACAUUGGGACUGAGACACGGCCCAAACUCCUACGGGAGGCAGCAGUAGGGAAUCUUCCGCAAUGGACGAAAGUCUGACGGAGCAACGCCGCGUGAGUGAAAGAAGGUUUUCGGAUCGUAAAACUCUGUUGUCAGAGAAGAACAAGUUGGAGAGUAACUGCUCCAGCCUUGACGGUAUCUGACCAGAAAGCCACGGCUAACUACGUGCCAGCCGCGGC